GGGCUAGCCUCCAAAGGGAGAACAUCUCUUGAGUGAAGGCUGCUCUCUGAGAAGGAGUGUUUUAUAGCUAGAAGAUCCUCAUCAUCUUUUGGGGACAAAGCACUCCAUGAAAUUCUCCUCCUGGCCCUGACAGAGCUGCAAGUUAUGCCUUAUCCUUACAUAUCAUUACUUUUUUGGGGCUGUACUUAAGGAGAAAGAAGAAAGAACUGCUUCAGCACUGACACAAUCCAACCUCUGCUGAAAUCCAAGGCCAUUUUGCCAUCGAUCUCUAUUCAAUCCAUACAGAUUAUAUGCAGAGAGAAAAGUAAUGA
Long non-coding RNA from Tympanuchus pallidicinctus (lesser prairie-chicken), 311 nucleotides. RefSeq lists it as uncharacterized. Lineage: Eukaryota; Metazoa; Chordata; Aves; Galliformes; Phasianidae. The record is from RefSeq and is a predicted model, not a curated record. The transcript is spliced from 2 exons.